AUUGAACGCUGGCGGCAGGCCUGACACAUGCAAGUCGAGCGGAUGAAGGGAGCUUGCUCCUGGAUUCAGCGGCGGACGGGUGAGUAAUGCCUAGGAAUCUGCCUGGUAGUGGGGGAUAACGUCCGGAAACGGGCGCUAAUACCGCAUACGACCUGAGGGAGAAAGUGGGGGAUCUUCGGACCUCACGCUAUCAGAUGAGCCUAGGUCGGAUUAGCUAGUUGGUGGGGUAAAGGCCUACCAAGGCGACGAUCCGUAACUGGUCUGAGAGGAUGAUCAGUCACACUGGAACUGAGACACGGUCCAGACUCCUACGGGAGGCAGCAGUGGGGAAUAUUGGACAAUGGGCGAAAGCCUGAUCCAGCCAUGCCGCGUGUGUGAAGAAGGUCUUCGGAUUGUAAAGCACUUUAAGUUGGGAGGAAGGGCAGUAAGUUAAUACCUUGCUGUUUUGACGUUACCAACAGAAUAAGCACCGGCUAACUUCGUG
RNAcentral lists this ribosomal RNA (484 nucleotides) under uncultured bacterium. RNAcentral describes it as "partial 16S ribosomal RNA". It matches the Rfam family "Bacterial small subunit ribosomal RNA", at positions 30 to 507 of the family's 1533-position model. The record is from RNAcentral.